This 894-nucleotide ribosomal RNA is filed under the name Cladorrhinum hyalocarpum. RNAcentral's name for it is "partial large subunit ribosomal RNA". It matches the Rfam family "Eukaryotic large subunit ribosomal RNA", at positions 38 to 964 of the family's 3401-position model. Lineage: Eukaryota; Fungi; Ascomycota; Sordariomycetes; Sordariales; Podosporaceae. The record is from RNAcentral.
GCAUAUCAAUAAGCGGAGGAAAAGAAACCAACAGGGAUUGCCCCCAGUAACGGCGAGUGAAGCGGCAACAGCUCAAAUUUGAAAUCUGGCCUCGGCCCGAGUUGUAAUUUGCAGAGGAAGCUUUAGGCGCGGCACCAUCUGAGUCCCCUGGAACGGGGCGCCACAGAGGGUGAGAGCCCCGUAUAGAUGGACGCCUAGCCUGUGUAAAGCUCCUUCGACGAGUCGAGUAGUUUGGGAAUGCUGCUCAAAAUGGGAGGUAAAUUUCUUCUAAAGCUAAAUACCGGCCAGAGACCGAUAGCGCACAAGUAGAGUGAUCGAAAGAUGAAAAGCACUUUGAAAAGAGGGUUAAAUAGCACGUGAAAUUGUUGAAAGGGAAGCGCUUGUGACCAGACUUGCGCCGGGCGGAUCAUCCGGUGUUCUCACCGGUGCACUCCGCCCGGCUCAGGCCAGCAUCGGUUCUCGCGGGGGGAUAAAGGCACCGGGAACGUAGCUCCCUCGGGAGUGUUAUAGCCCGGGGCGUAAUGCCCUCGCGGGGACCGAGGACCGCGCUUCGGCAAGGAUGCUGGCGUAAUGGUCAUCAGCGACCCGUCUUGAAACACGGACCAAGGAGUCAAGGUUUUGCGCGAGUGUUUGGGUGUAAAACCCGCACGCGUAAUGAAAGUGAACGUAGGUGAGAGCUUCGGCGCAUCAUCGACCGAUCCUGAUGUUUUCGGAUGGAUUUGAGUAGGAGCGUUAAGCCUUGGACCCGAAAGAUGGUGAACUAUGCUUGGAUAGGGUGAAGCCAGAGGAAACUCUGGUGGAGGCUCGCAGCGGUUCUGACGUGCAAAUCGAUCGUCAAAUCUGAGCAUGGGGGCGAAAGACUAAUCGAACCAUCUAGUAGCUGGUUACCGCCGA